The sequence is a ribosomal RNA, 751 nucleotides long. It matches the Rfam family "Bacterial large subunit ribosomal RNA", at positions 423 to 1176 of the family's 2925-position model.
CACGUGAAAUUCCGUCGGAAUCUGGGAGGACCAUCUCCUAAGGCUAAAUACUCUCUAGUGACCGAUAGUGAACCAGUACCGUGAGGGAAAGGUGAAAAGCACCCCGGAAGGGGAGUGAAAUAGAACCUGAAACCGUGUGCUUACAAGUAGUCAGAGCCCGUUAAUGGGUGAUGGCGUGCCUUUUGUAGAAUGAACCGGCGAGUUACGAUUUGAUGCAAGGUUAAGCAGUAAAUGUGGAGCCGUAGCGAAAGCGAGUCUGAAUAGGGCGUUUAGUAUUUGGUCGUAGACCCGAAACCAGGUGAUCUACCCUUGGUCAGGUUGAAGUUCAGGUAACACUGAAUGGAGGACCGAACCGACUUACGUUGAAAAGUGAGCGGAUGAACUGAGGGUAGCGGAGAAAUUCCAAUCGAACCUGGAGAUAGCUGGUUCUCUCCGAAAUAGCUUUAGGGCUAGCCUCAAGUGAUGAUUAUUGGAGGUAGAGCACUGUUUGGACGAGGGGCCCCUCUCGGGUUACCGAAUUCAGACAAACUCCGAAUGCCAAUUAAUUUAACUUGGGAGUCAGAACAUGGGUGAUAAGGUCCGUGUUCGAAAGGGAAACAGCCCAGACCACCAGCUAAGGUCCCAAAAUAUAUGUUAAGUGGAAAAGGAUGUGGCGUUGCCCAGACAACUAGGAUGUUGGCUUAGAAGCAGCCAUCAUUUAAAGAGUGCGUAAUAGCUCACUAGUCGAGUGACACUGCGCCGAAAAUGUACC